AUUACUUAUAUUAUCUCAUGUGAUCCUCUUAAUAGCCCUAUAAUGUAUGUGCUAUUGUUGUUCAUAUUUUGCUAUUGAAUAAACAGAUUCAGAAGUGAAGUAACUUGCCCAGGGUCAACAGCUGAUAAGCAGAACUGUGACUCCAAAGCCUUGGGGUUCUAUCUUUGUAUCUUGGUUCAGAACUGCAGUAAAAAUCUGUAUCUUUUUUCCCAGGUGUUAGCAACCUAAGGAAUGGAUAGUAACAACAGAAGGUGGUUGAGCCAACAUUCAGCAGCCUGUGAGCUGGCUUUCCUGCUGCCGUUUCUCCUUCCCUACCCCCAUUUCUCACAAUAUACUUCACAACUGACUGUAAAGCACCACCAGACUUUGCCCAGCAUAGCUCCCUCACCCAGUCCAGUGGUAAAAUACAACCAGAACUGUGACCAACGUGGAGACCAGCACAUUUCAGAGACUGCCGGUCUCCAAGCUUCCCUAAGGAAGCAAAGUUCGUGUGCUGCACAGCUGAGAGGGGUUUAAAAGGACAGAGAUGUUUUACAAGCUCUGGGUAAAAAUCACGUGGUCCUAGGCUGAACCACAUCUUUGGAAUGUUUCAUUUAUCUUCUUUAUAGUAAAGUUCUGUCUCUGCAGAUUCCAGCAAAUUGUGGAGCAAAAAACACAGAGUCAUUGUAACCAAAUAUCCAAAGGUAAUUAUACAACGGCAGAUGUAUCCUAUUAGCAUCACCACGACUUAACUCCAUUCUGUGUCUCCUCUCCAGCCUGACAGGCCUUCCCAAGUCUCCCUGUGGGUUGGUGGGAAAGCAGAUUGGCUGGUCGCAGGGGGGUGUAGGGAGAUGGGCCUCUGAGCGAGUUCCUGUGCCCUGUUUCUCUCAACAAGCAUAACUACUUCCACCUGCCUUCAUAAUUGGUUCCUGGGACAAGAAAAGCCUCUUGACAAGCUGGACUGCCUCACAUGUGUUGCAUAAAUACUUGAAAUAUGGACCUUCUCCCCCCUCAGCCACCCGUCCCCAGGGUUCAAGACUGAAUGCAUCGAGAAGUGCUGCUGUUUUUGUGUUGCAGGAGCAGAGCUUUUGCUUUUUCCUCUGCUUUGCAGCUCACUCUCUCUGAUGAGUAAUGAAAAAGACUGGGGUCUAGACAAUCUUAGAUUAUUGCCUGCCCCAUUCUCCCACUCAGGUCAUGGAAGUUGGCAACUCCAAUCACUCUUUGCAUAGAGGCCUGGAGAGGGGACAAGAUUUUCUGUGUUUUGCAGCAACUGAUGGCUGAACUGGGAUGCAAGUCCUGGUGGUCUGACAGCAAGUCCAACAAUCACAGUGAGAGAGAGUCAGAAGAGUCUGGGCUAUGGAUUCUGACCUGAAUUUAAAGCCAGCACUGCCACUGGCUUACUGUGUCUCCUCCACUUCCUUCUUCCUAGAAUGGAAAUAAUAAACACCUCAUAGAACUGUGAGCAUCAGACAGGAUAAUGUACAUGAUGCUCAUGCGGUCUUUGGUUUAAAACCAGAAAAGACCCAAGUGACAACUGCUGGCACUUUAAUGGGGAUAGAGAGGAAGUGUGAUUGUCCCACACAAAUGGGGGAUUUGUGCUAAAGUAAGAUACCGAGCAGGGCAGAACUCUUUUCACUGAAGGGACCUUAAAUGCCCACCCCCA
Bubalus bubalis (water buffalo) is the source of this 1642-nucleotide long non-coding RNA. RefSeq lists it as uncharacterized. The transcript is spliced from 2 exons. The record is from RefSeq and is a predicted model, not a curated record. Lineage: Eukaryota; Metazoa; Chordata; Mammalia; Artiodactyla; Bovidae.